GCUCAGGAUGAACGCUAGCUACAGGCUUAACACAUGCAAGUCGAGGGGUAGCAGGGUAGCAAUACCGCUGACGACCGGCGCACGGGUGAGUAACACGUAUCCAACCUUCCCAUUACUCGGGGAUAGCCUUUCGAAAGAAAGAUUAAUACCCGAUAGUACAAUGAAUAGGCAUCUAUUUAUUGUUAAAGAUUUAUUGGUAAUGGAUGGGGAUGCGUUCCAUUAGAUUGUUGGUGAGGUAACGGCUCACCAAGUCUUCGAUGGAUAGGGGUUCUGAGAGGAAGGUCCCCCACAUUGGUACUGAGACACGGACCAAACUCCUACGGGAGGCAGCAGUGAGGAAUAUUGGUCAAUGGGCGAGAGCCUGAACCAGCCAA
This 374-nucleotide ribosomal RNA is filed under the name uncultured Bacteroidales bacterium. RNAcentral describes it as "bacterial SSU rRNA". It matches the Rfam family "Bacterial small subunit ribosomal RNA", at positions 22 to 395 of the family's 1533-position model. The record is from RNAcentral. Lineage: Bacteria; Pseudomonadati; Bacteroidota; Bacteroidia; Bacteroidales.